RNAcentral lists this ribosomal RNA (253 nucleotides) under uncultured bacterium. RNAcentral's name for it is "partial 16S ribosomal RNA". It matches the Rfam family "Bacterial small subunit ribosomal RNA", at positions 524 to 776 of the family's 1533-position model. The record is from RNAcentral.
UACGUAGGGGGCAAGCGUUGUCCGGAAUCAUUGGGCGUAAAGAGCGUGUAGGCGGUCCGGUAAGUCGGCUGUGAAAGUCAGGGGCUCAACCCUUGAAAGCCGGUCGAUACUGCCGGGCUAGAGUCCGGAAGAGGCGAGUGGAAUUCCUGGUGUAGCGGUGAAAUGCGCAGAUAUCAGGAGGAACACCAAUGGCGAAGGCAGCUCGCUGGGACGGUACUGACGCUGAGACGCGAAAGCGUGGGGAGCAAACAGG